This is a long non-coding RNA of Thunnus maccoyii (southern bluefin tuna), 426 nucleotides long. RefSeq lists it as uncharacterized. The record is from RefSeq and is a predicted model, not a curated record. Lineage: Eukaryota; Metazoa; Chordata; Actinopteri; Scombriformes; Scombridae. The transcript is spliced from 5 exons.
UAACUGGCCCUGCCCUAUAUUUAAGAGAGGCUGGAAGAGAAGGCCUCUUUUUUGUUCUCCCCUGACUAGCAGCCAGCCACUGUUGCAGCAGUUUACUUAAGGUCUGGUAGUCUUGUUCUCGUGACUUUAUUUGGUAGGUGUGGCAUAUCAAUAGUGAUUACUGUUCACACAUUGUGUGAUCACCUGUGUAUGAAUCGACACUAGAAACUGGAUUGAAGUGGCAGAAGAACAAAAAAUUCAGAGAAUCAAGAAAUGUGUUACACAGCCUGGACAAAAAUGAAGUGUGCCAGUGGCUUGAACAAGAGGGUUUGGGUCCCGUCCUCUAGCAACCACCUGCUCCCACGUGUUGAGUCUUCUGCCUGAUUAUUGUGCAAUAUGUUCAUAGGAGAGAUACUGACUGCCACUGCUGUUUUUGUUUUGCUUCGU